GGUUCGGCCCUCGGCGAACCGCUCAGUAACACGUGGAUAACCUACCCUGAAGCGGGGCAUAAUCUCGGAAAACUGAGGAUAAUACCCCAUAGGUCUUCGAUACUGGAAUGUUCAUAGGCUGAAAGCCACGGCGCUUCAGGAUGGGUCUGCGGCCUAUCAGGUUGUAGUGAGUGUAACGGACUCACUAGCCGACGACGGGUACGGGCUGUGGGAGCAGUUGCCCGGAGAUGGACUCUGAGACACGAGUCCAGGCCCUACGGGGCGCAGCAGGCGCGAAAACUUCGCAAUGCGCGGAAGCGCGACGAGGGGAUUCCAAGUGCAUGCACUCUGUGUAUGCUGUUUACUAGUCUAAAACGCUAGUAGAGUAAGGGCUGGGUAAGACUGGUGCCAGCCGCCGCGGUAAUACCAGCGGCCCUAGUGGUGAUCGUUAUUAUUGGGCCUAAAGCGUCCGUAGCCGGUCCGGUAAAUCUCUGGGUAAAUCGUUGGGCUUAACUCAACGAAUUCUGG
RNAcentral lists this ribosomal RNA (507 nucleotides) under uncultured archaeon. RNAcentral's name for it is "bacterial SSU rRNA". It matches the Rfam family "Archaeal small subunit ribosomal RNA", at positions 65 to 578 of the family's 1478-position model. The record is from RNAcentral.